RNAcentral lists this long non-coding RNA (340 nucleotides) under Penaeus japonicus. Its description in RNAcentral is "uncharacterized LOC122248473". The record is from RNAcentral. Lineage: Eukaryota; Metazoa; Arthropoda; Malacostraca; Decapoda; Penaeidae.
GGACUCAAAUCUUACAGGGUGGUUGUUAAUGCAGUAUUUUCCUUUUUCCAGAACCUCCCUUAUGCAGCGCAGAAUCCGGCCCACUAGAUACAAGUGAUCACCACCACCACCACCAUUACCACCAUCGCGAUCACCACCACAGAGACCACCACCACAAUCAUCACCACAAGAAGAAGAAGCAUAAAGAGAGAGACAGAGAAAGAUCACACCACAAAAAGCACAGAUACAGAGAAAAGGAGAGAGUAGAGGAUACUUACAUCAGAUGGAGAACAGAAAAUGGCAGCAGUGGCAGUGGCACUCCAGAGCAUGACCCUGUUGAGGAGAGAAGUUAUACCCCACC